This 1871-nucleotide long non-coding RNA is filed under the name Salmo salar (Atlantic salmon). Its description in RNAcentral is "lncRNA (ENSSSAG00000090147.1)". Lineage: Eukaryota; Metazoa; Chordata; Actinopteri; Salmoniformes; Salmonidae. The record is from RNAcentral.
AGUACAUGUGUCGGCCUACUGUAUUUAAGCAGCUAUUGUUUGUUGUAUUUCAACACAGCGCCUGUUUCACAGAUCCCAUUCUCCAAUAAAAAUGCACGCGCCUGUUUCGACAAUAACCAAUCAGAUUGAUGGGUAUUGAAGCAACGCCCGCGCGCUAUGUUCUUGAAGCAGUAUUUUGUCAUACAUUCGCGGGAGAACAGCUUUGCAAAGUUUUGUCAGCAACUAUUUAAUUUAAUGUCAUUUAUUUGAGGUACUUGGCAGACGGUAGCUGCGUGUUAUUAGUACAACCUUUACAGUCUGUUGGCUGCACACUACUAGACAGCUAACAACAUAACUGGCAAACUUUUUGAAAGAGGUCUGUCGUUUUGAUCCAAAGUAUCUAAUAUGGCAACCAUGUGUCACUCAAGACGUGCCCUGAUGGAAAUCCCAGCUCCACAGCCGAAAAUUGCAGCUCGACUGAGAAGGUCAUACCUGGAGGUUCUAAGUUCACGCAUAGCUCCAUUCUCAACCACCUCUAGAGGCAGAAACCUGACCAGCAACUCAAAACGUGGGCAUUCAUUGAACCCAGCCAUAUACAGAACAGGGAGUAGUCGGAGUGAGGCCCAAAGUGAGAGAAUGGAAGACAACCAGACACCCCUGUCCAACCAGCAGCUUGUGCAGCUCAUAAGAUCUUUCAUCUUAGUAGAACAGGGGCAGAGGCAGGAGCCCAGAGCCCUCACUACGGACCUGAAACCUUUACAGGAGGACCUGCACCUGAAGAAGACCAAUGUCUAUAGAUCUAUACCCUACUCACGCCUGGGGUCCAACAGAGACGCACACUGUUACAGAAAGGCAUAUCCACACCUGGUGGUGUUUAAAGUUUCCUGCCAGGAGUGGGGUCAGCUGCUGCUGCAGAAUGAGGAGUGGGAGUCUGCUCUGGAGCACGCCCUAGUGGCGUGGAGGUACACCAGUGAACUGCCACAGUGGGACACCAGCAGCCACAACUUGGUGAGGGAACAGUGUUACAGCAUGCUGGCAGCACACUGCAUCACAGCUCUACAGCACUAUUGCCCAGACCCCAGCAAAGCAAUAGAGCUGCACAGGAGGUUUAAAAUGGCACAGCUGCACAGUCAGUUGAUCUAUCCUUGUAUUCAGGAGCUGGAGAGAAGCCUCGGCGAAGCACAGGUUUGUUCCAUGAACACCCGCUGAAAUGGCCAACCUGCUGAAAUGGCCAACACUAAGAUCAGCUGACAACAAUCAGCACGGCUUCCAAGUCUAUGGGGUUGCACUAUUGAACAGCGUAUAUCAGUGGUUGCCAUUCAACUAUGUUUGGUAUCCUUGCCUUGUGUUGCGCUAUUCCCCCUUGCCUACAGUAUUCCGCCUUGCCUUGCCUACAGUAUUCCCUCAGAGUAAAUACAAGAGAAAGCUUUGAAUUUUGGUAAGCUGUUUUUUAAAUAUGAAUUUAAGUUUUUGUAUUUAAGUUGUUUUGUAAAAUGUGUUUAUUGCCAUUGAACUAUUGAAUGUUAUCAUAAGGAAAGUAUGAAAUGGCCUUUAAAAUGUGAAAUGCUGUCAUAGGGAAAUUAUGAAUGUCCUUUUCACCAAGAUGUUUUAUAUGUGGGGGAUGUUUUUGUGGAUGUUUUGAAAAAUGCCAUGAUACAGCUGCCUUAUUUCAACUUGGCUGAAUGCUACCUGUCUUGUAAAUAUUUGUCUAAAGUAACUGUUUUGCACUGUUUUCUUCAUCCUGGAAACUUGACAUUUUGAUAAUAGAAUCUAAUUUAAUAAAAUUCUACUUAGUUUUUCAACAUUCUGUUGUCAAUUUCUGGUUUUGUCUCAUCUAAAACACAUGCCACUGAUUUACUGUUUUGAGACAUUGGAGACCUGCUUUGUCACUG